GCCGAAGUGGCGGAACUGGCAUACGCGCCGGUCUCAAAAACCGGUGGUAGUAAUACCUUAAGGGUUCGACUCCCUUCUUCGGCACCA
This 87-nucleotide transfer RNA is filed under the name Candidatus Aquitaenariimonas noxiae. RNAcentral describes it as "Candidatus Omnitrophica bacterium CG07_land_8_20_14_0_80_42_15 tRNA-Leu". It matches the Rfam family "tRNA". Rfam says of the family: Transfer RNA (tRNA) molecules are approximately 80 nucleotides in length. Their secondary structure includes four short double-helical elements and three loops (D, anti-codon, and T loops). Lineage: Bacteria; Pseudomonadati; Candidatus Omnitrophota. The record is from RNAcentral.